UUUCCGUAGGUGAACCUGCGGAAGGAUCAUUAAUGUGUUUGGGCCUCACGGCUCUUCAUUCCGACGCUGUGCGCCUUCGGGCUGCACGCUGAGGGAGCAUAUAUCCACCCCUGUGCACACACACGGUGGCGAGCUGGGUAACGGCUCGCCGCUGAUCUUUACACACGUCUAAAAGUCAUUGUAUGUUUAUUUGAGAUAAAAACACAACUUUCAGCAACGGAUCUCUUGGCUCUCGCAUUGAUGAAGAACGCAGC
RNAcentral lists this unclassified non-coding RNA (254 nucleotides) under plant metagenome. RNAcentral describes it as "partial contains small subunit ribosomal RNA, internal transcribed spacer 1, and 5.8S ribosomal RNA". The stretch from base 206 to 254 matches the Rfam family "5.8S ribosomal RNA", at positions 1 to 49 of the family's 154-position model. The record is from RNAcentral.